GUGGACACGCGGCUCUGCCAGAAGGACUAUGUCGAGAUCCUGGGGAGGAAGUACUGUGGCGAACGCUCUCUCCUGGCCUUGGCGAGCCAAAAUCACACCCUGGAGAUCAAGUUCCAUUCCGACGAGUCGUACACGGACAAGGGCUUCUCCGCCACCUACAACGCCUACGACCCUGCCAACCCUUGUCCUGGGCAGUUUGCCUGCA
Molecule: non-coding RNA, 205 nt
Organism: Lepisosteus oculatus (spotted gar)
Lineage: Eukaryota; Metazoa; Chordata; Actinopteri; Semionotiformes; Lepisosteidae
Source: RefSeq, a predicted model, not a curated record